AUGGGUGGCCUAUCCAUGGAGCACCCUUGGGCAUUCGCCUUCGGCCUACUAGGCAACGUGAUCUCUUUCUCGAGCCUCCUGGCCCCGAUACCAACAUUCUACCGGAUCUUCAAGAGCAAAUCCACGGAGGGGUUCCAGUCGGUGCCCUACGUCGUGGCCCUGUUCAGCGCGAUGCUGUGGAUAUUCUACGCACUGGUCAAGACCGGUGAGGGCCUCCUUAUCAGCAUCAACGCUGCCGGCUGCGUCAUUGAGACCGUCUACAUCGUCAUGUACCUCGUCUACGCCCCCAGGAAGGCCAAGAUUUUCACAGCCAAGAUCGUCGUUCUCCUCAACAUCGCCGGCUUCGGGCUCAUCUUCCUCCUCACCCUCUUCGCCUUCCACGGCGAGACACGCGUCGUCUCGCUCGGCUGGAUCUGCGUCGGCUUCUCCGUCUGCGUCUUCGUUGCCCCACUCAGCAUCAUUGGACGAGUCAUCAAGACCAAGAGUGUGGAGUACAUGCCCUUCUCCCUCUCCCUCACGCUCACCCUCAGCGCCGUUGACUGGUUCCUCUACGGCCUGCUCAUCAAGGACAAAUACGUGGCGCUCCCAAACAUCCUUGGCUUCACCUUCGGGAUGAUCCAAAUGGUCGUCUACAUGUUCUACAUGAACGCGACGCCGGUGGUGAGCGAUCUGAAGGAGGGGAAAGAGGGGUUGAAGAUGCCGGCGGAGGAGCAGGUGGUGGUGAUCAACGUUGGCAUGAUCGAAAAGAGCUCUGGCGCUGUGGUUCGCCCGGUGACCGAGAUGGUCAAAGCCGUCCCGGCGGCGCCGGGGCAACAAGUGAUGGCGCUGGACUCUGCCCGCUUUGUCGAUGUGGUGUAA
RNAcentral lists this ribosomal RNA (858 nucleotides) under Triticum aestivum (bread wheat). Its description in RNAcentral is "partial small subunit ribosomal RNA". The record is from RNAcentral. Lineage: Eukaryota; Viridiplantae; Streptophyta; Magnoliopsida; Poales; Poaceae.